Molecule: long non-coding RNA, 743 nt
Organism: Cebus imitator (Panamanian white-faced capuchin)
Lineage: Eukaryota; Metazoa; Chordata; Mammalia; Primates; Cebidae
Exons: 2
Source: RefSeq, a predicted model, not a curated record
UUUCUAUACCACCUAUGUCUGGAGUCCUUCUCCACCACCCUCCUUGCCAUGAUCCUUGCUCCUAGAAUUUCCCUUCACAGUAACUAAUGUUGGGCACUUAGUCAGCUGAAUCCCCUCCCAGGAUCUGCCUGGUGCCUUUCCUUCAGGGGAUGACUGCUAUCCUUUCUCCUGCCAAGGUUGGCACCACAGAAGCCUGGCAGCUCCAGCCCUUGGUUCUUGUCACCCUUCUACAUCUCUUCAUUGUGUCCCAUUGCAUUUCUGAAAACACCAAAACCAAUCACCUUGGCUGUCAAAAGAAGAUGAGGCUUUUGGAGAAUGUCCUAUUAACACAGAAAGUGACCAAAAAUCUAGAAUUUAAUGCCACACAUAAGUUUAACAACGAGAUCAGCUGCUCAUAACUGAGGUGGAACUCUGGCCCUUUUGUCUCUCUCCAGGAAUGUCCAAUAUUUUGCUAUAUCAGGGAAAUACAUGGUUAUUAUUAAUUGAAAUAUUAGAUGGAAUUCUCUGAAACCUUUGGAGUAAAAUGAAGAAGUCCAAGAGGGAGGCUGAGUGGCAAGCUGAGAUCUAUAAGCAGCUGCUAAGAAAUAGUGAAGAGAGGUGAGAAGCAAAAGUCUCAUGUAGAGUAUAAACUCAAGAAUUUAUUACUUCAGAUUUGGGGGUAGAUGCUAGGAGUACAUCAGUGUUUGCUUGGUAUCUUUUGGUUCACCUCUGGCAUACUCAGGUAACAUCAUGUCAUGGUGAAU